GCGAGAGUGGUGGAAUGGUAGACACGCUAGAUUUAGGAUCUAGUGCCUUCGGGCGUGCGGGUUCAAGUCCCGCCUCUCGCA
Molecule: transfer RNA, 81 nt
Filed under: Rubrobacter sp.
Lineage: Bacteria; Bacillati; Actinomycetota; Rubrobacteria; Rubrobacterales; Rubrobacteraceae
Also listed under: 5 other names
Description: tRNA-Leu
Rfam family: tRNA
About the family: Transfer RNA (tRNA) molecules are approximately 80 nucleotides in length.
Source: RNAcentral